GCCGACGGCCAUAGGGAUCGGGGAAACACCCGGUCUCAUUCCGAACCCGGAAGUUAAGCCCGAUCCCGUUCCGCGUUGUACUGCGCUCCGAGAGGGCGCGGGAAGCGCGGAAGCUGUCGGCA
Molecule: ribosomal RNA, 122 nt
Organism: Ferroglobus placidus DSM 10642
Lineage: Archaea; Methanobacteriati; Methanobacteriota; Archaeoglobi; Archaeoglobales; Archaeoglobaceae
Source: Rfam